Molecule: transfer RNA, 63 nt
Filed under: Urocitellus parryii (Arctic ground squirrel)
Lineage: Eukaryota; Metazoa; Chordata; Mammalia; Rodentia; Sciuridae
Also listed under: 1 other name
Description: Spermophilus parryii (Arctic ground squirrel) tRNA
Rfam family: tRNA
About the family: Transfer RNA (tRNA) molecules are approximately 80 nucleotides in length. Their secondary structure includes four short double-helical elements and three loops (D, anti-codon, and T loops). Further hydrogen bonds mediate the characteristic L-shaped molecular structure. tRNAs have two regions of fundamental functional importance: the anti-codon, which is responsible for specific mRNA codon recognition, and the 3' end, to which the tRNAs corresponding amino acid is attached (by aminoacyl-tRNA synthetases). tRNAs cope with the degeneracy of the genetic code in two manners: having more than one tRNA (with a specific anti-codon) for a particular amino acid; and 'wobble' base-pairing, i.e. permitting non-standard base-pairing at the 3rd anti-codon position.
Source: Rfam by way of RNAcentral
GUAUAGCUAAGUGGUAGAGUGCUUGCCUAGCAUGUACCAGGUUCUGGGUUCAAUUCCCAGUAC